Sinocyclocheilus grahami is the source of this 218-nucleotide long non-coding RNA. RefSeq lists it as uncharacterized. The record is from RefSeq and is a predicted model, not a curated record. The transcript has 2 exons. NCBI's taxonomy places the organism in Eukaryota, Metazoa, Chordata, Actinopteri, Cypriniformes, Cyprinidae.
GAGCAGGCACCAUGGUGGAUCUGUCAGCUCUGGGCACCAUUGCGGAGUAGGGAACCCAGGAGGACGUGGCGGAGUAGGGAACCCAGGAGUUCGUGGCGAAGUAGGGAACACAGGAGGACAUGGUGGUGCAGGCAGUUCAGGAGGCCAUGGCGGAGCAGCUUUCGAGGCUGCAGCCCCAGCCCCCGCCUCUAUGGCUGGAGCCCUACUACUCCCCCCCC